UGUGUGUGUGUGUGUGUGUGUGUGUGUGUGUGUGUGUGUGUGCGCGCGCGUGUGCCAUUGUACACACAUACACUCAAGCACA
RNAcentral lists this microRNA precursor (82 nucleotides) under Loxodonta africana (African savanna elephant). Its description in RNAcentral is "miRNA (ENSLAFG00000031028.1)". Lineage: Eukaryota; Metazoa; Chordata; Mammalia; Proboscidea; Elephantidae. The record is from RNAcentral.